RNAcentral lists this ribosomal RNA (253 nucleotides) under uncultured bacterium. Its description in RNAcentral is "partial 16S ribosomal RNA". It matches the Rfam family "Bacterial small subunit ribosomal RNA", at positions 524 to 776 of the family's 1533-position model. The record is from RNAcentral.
UACGUAGGGUGCAAGCGUUGUCCGGAAUUAUUGGGCGUAAAGAGCUCGUAGGCGGCUCGUUGCGUCGGCUGUGAAAACCCGCAGCUCAACUGUGGGCUUGCAGCCGAUACGGGCGGGCUGGAGUUCGGUAGGGGAGACUGGAAUUCCUGGUGUAGCGGUGAAAUGCGUAGAUAUCGAGAGGAACACCUGCGGCGAAGGCGGGUUGCUGGGCUGAUACUGACGCUGAGGCGCGAAAGCCAGGGGAGCGAACGGG